RNAcentral lists this long non-coding RNA (1332 nucleotides) under Lynx canadensis (Canada lynx). RNAcentral's name for it is "lncRNA (ENSLCNG00005019905.1)". The record is from RNAcentral. Lineage: Eukaryota; Metazoa; Chordata; Mammalia; Carnivora; Felidae.
GAGGGUGCCCCACUCUCUGCCUCCCUCUUCUCCUCUGAACACUGGGGUGCUUGCAGCCACCCCCACCCGCCUCGCAGCUGUCCGGCCUCCCUGUGUGAGGUCCUGGCCCCCAAACUGCGCCGCCCCCUGCCACCCCCGGGGUGCCUCACGUGGUGUGGGGAUGGAGAGAGUCUGGGAGGCCUGGGGGACAGUCGGGUGGCAGAUCAGGUUCUGAGUCUGGUUGUCUCCACCCAGAGUUUCCAUUCUGGUCUCUGCCCCAGGCCUCUUCCCCCUGGAGGGUGGGGGGUGGGGGGCAGGAGUGGAGGCUGGGAGGGGGUGGUGGGGGUGGACAGGAGGCCUGCUGGGCUGCUGGGAGGGGGUUCUGCUCAGGGUGGCUGCCCCACCCUGCCUCUUCCCUACCUUCCAGAACCUUCUUUCAGCAUUCUCCCUCUGACCCCACCCUUCCCAUCCUGGAUUCUUCUUCUGGAAUCUGGGACUACGGAAUCUUGGGCUGUGGGCCUGAGUGGAGGAUCCCACGUCGCUGCUCCUGGGUCAGGGCGCGGCUGGGUCCCAGGACGGCCCCCCUCUGCCUCCCCUGACCCGAACCUGGCUGGGAGAGCGGCAGCCAUUCUGGGAGGAGGAAGGAGACCUGGCGUUGAGGAAGAGAAGCAGACAGGGCCACCCGGGAGGGAGAGAGAGUCCGAGCCAGAGGGCCAGGGAGAGACACCAGGGCAUUCCCAGGGACAGAAGAAACAAGGCGGAACCCGCCAGAGUUGGAGAAGGGCAGAGAGACACUCACCCAGGGAUUGCCCGGCCGUGCGCCUUCGGGCAAACGGCCUCCCGUGUCUGAGUCUCGGUUUCCUGGUCUGUGAAGUGGGGGCGAGUGAUCCCCUUCCCCGCUCGGCUAGCGGUGAGCGCUCGGGGAGGCCCUGUGUGCGCCAGGCGCCCAGGACCUCAGACCAGGCGCUGGUGUCGUUCCUUAUUCGUCUUUCAGGCGCACUUGAGGAGCCCAGACCGUGUACCAGCCGCUGCUGUAGGCCCCGGGAGACGCGGCUCAUCAGGCACACGUCCUGCCCCCCGGAGCCCCGCGGGCACAGUGUUGUCCUUGCCGGGGUCACCGUCACGCGAGGGAGCGUGAGCUGGAAUUUCAGUGGACGCGUCCUCAGCCCAAGGCGCAGGUCCCAGCCUGGGAGAGAGGGGCCCCCGCUUCCAGCCCCGGGUGGGCCUCUCGGGGCCCCAGAUGUCCAAGAUAAAAUGGGCAAAGACCCUUUCCCCUGUGCCAAGCGGCAGGGACAUGGCCGGGAUGGAUGGUGGCCCCCUGGGUCCCCUCUGUCCUUGGCGGUUCAUCCUUAA